This is a non-coding RNA of Triticum urartu, 1025 nucleotides long. The record is from RefSeq and is a predicted model, not a curated record. Lineage: Eukaryota; Viridiplantae; Streptophyta; Magnoliopsida; Poales; Poaceae.
GGCCCCUUUGACCGAAACAGGACGCUCGCCUCGAUUCAGAUCGGCCCGCCGAUGGCGUCGACGGCGGCUUUCGAGAAGGAUUGCCGGAUGCCGGAGGAGGCAGAGGCCGAUGCGCUGCUGGUACAGAAGGUGGGCGUGCUGCCCUCCGGGUUCCACGAUGCCUUCGUGCUCCGCUACAUCCGCGUCCACGCGUCUGGCCCAGCCGCCUCCUCUGCCACUUCACCGUCACCACCCGCCUCCUCAACUCGAGCAACUUCCUGCAAGGGGCGCGACUGCAUUGCUGGUUUACUUGAUGGGCUCUGUUGUACACCGCUGCGUCACAAACCAGGGUCUCACCACUAGAGAUGAACAUCUACCUAGAUACUGCAUUUUCUGAUGUGGGUGACUAUCUUACUCAGUCGGAAUUGGAUGCGAAAUAAUACAUGUGGUGGUUCAUCAGCAUCACUUCUCAAGGUAUGCUUGUUGGUGAUGUUGCUUGUUUAUGUUAUUUUUGGUUUUGUACGACAUUCUUCCGGAGGAGGUUCAUAUUUAAAAUCAUUUCUGCUCAAUUAUAUCAGGUUGGUCUGUCAUGCCUAAAGCGGAUAUAGUGACUAGUUUGUUAUGUGCUUUGCAGGUUAGUCAUAUGGUUUGUAUAAUGGACCUAUAGCUCGUUCUUGUCUUUUUCAGGUUCAGAAAUCAGCGCAUUAUUAGUUGCUUCACUAUAUGCUUUGAUAUCCAGGUUACAACUAGGAUUUUCAUAUAACGGAUGGUUCACCAUAAUAGGAGCAUCACAAGACAUUGUAGUCAUUGGUGAAGAAUGAUAUGCAGUGAAACACAAGGAUUUAUGAUGGUGUCCCAUGACUGAAGAUUAUGAAAAAUAAAUCACUCUUCUAGUUGAUGUAUUUCUGGUUAGAUAUGGACUAAAAUAGUUGUCUACAAGGUGUUUUUGGUUUAUAUUCUCCGCUGUAUGUGAGGAUCGUCUUCAAUAUGUAUGAUUUGGAUUAAUGAAAACAGGUUAUAUACUUUGACUGUCCAAAUUUUUUUGU